Molecule: ribosomal RNA, 497 nt
Filed under: uncultured bacterium
Lineage: Bacteria
Description: partial 16S ribosomal RNA
Rfam family: Bacterial small subunit ribosomal RNA
Source: RNAcentral
GAUGAACGCUGGCGGCGUGCCUAAUACAUGCAAGUCGAGCGAACGGACGAGAAGCUUGCUUCUCUGAUGUUAGCGGCGGACGGGUAAGUAACACGUGGAUAACCUACCUAUAAGACUGGGAUAACUUCGGGAAACCGGAGCUAAUACCGGAUAAUAUUUUGAACCGCAUGGUUCAAAAGUGAAAGACGGCCUUGCUGUCACUUAUAGAUGGAUCCGCGCUGCAUUAGCUAGUUGGUAAGGUAACGGCUUACCAAGGCAACGAUGCAUAGCCGACCUGAGAGGGUGAUCGGCCACACUGGAACUGAGACACGGUCCAGACUCCUACGGGAGGCAGCAGUAGGGAAUCUUCCGCAAUGGGCGAAAGCCUGACGGAGCAACGCCGCGUGAGUGAUGAAGGUCUUCGGAUCGUAAAACUCUGUUAUUAGGGAAGAACAUAUGUGUAAGUAACUGUGCACAUCUUGACGGUACCUAAUCAGAAAGCCACGGCUAACUACGUG